RNAcentral lists this ribosomal RNA (475 nucleotides) under uncultured bacterium. Its description in RNAcentral is "partial 16S ribosomal RNA". It matches the Rfam family "Bacterial small subunit ribosomal RNA", at positions 28 to 523 of the family's 1533-position model. The record is from RNAcentral.
GACGAACGCUGGCGGCGUGCUUAACACAUGCAAGUCGAACGGUAAGGCCCUUCGGGGUACACGAGUGGCGAACGGGUGAGUAACACGUGGGUGAUCUGCCCUGCACUUCGGGAUAAGCCUGGGAAACUGGGUCUAAUACCGGAUAGGACCACUGCCUGCAUGGGUGGUGGAAAGCUUUUGCGGGGUGGGAGGGGCCCGCGGCCUAUCAGGUUGUUGGUGGGGUGAUGGCCUACCAAGGCGACGACGGGUAGCCGGCCUGGGAGGGUGACCGGCCACACUGGGACUGAGAUACGGCCCAGACUCCUACGGGAGGCAGCAGUGGGGAAUAUUGCACAAUGGGCGCAAGCCUGAUGCAGCGACGCCGCGUGAGGGAUGACGGCCUUCGGGUUGUAAACCUCUUUCAGCACCGACGAAGCGCAAGUGACGGUAGGUGCAGAAGAAGGACCGGCCAACUACGUGCCAGCCGCCGCCGUAA